UCUGGUGGUUACGGCGAAGAGGUCACACCCGUUCCCAUCCCGAACACGGAAGUUAAGCUUUUCAGCGCC
RNAcentral lists this ribosomal RNA (69 nucleotides) under Paenilisteria newyorkensis. The record is from RNAcentral. Lineage: Bacteria; Bacillati; Bacillota; Bacilli; Caryophanales; Listeriaceae.